AGUUAGGAAAGACAGAACACACAUAUACGCAACAAGUUAUAGAAAGCAGGUUUAUUACUCACAGACAGGCAAUGAGGGACAACAGAAGCCUAGGAUUUAUCACCAGCCAGUCCUCCUCAAGGUUCAGGAAAGCUGCCUGGAGGAGAAGGAGUCUCAAAUGCACGGGCACCGCUUGCACUGCAGCCUGAGGAUCCCCAGAAAGCAGCAUCCCCACCCUCAGGUGGUAUGCUCUGGGACAAUAGGAAUGGCUGGGUUACAGCAUUAAAGUACAUUCUGUUUCUAGGGCAGCAUGACAACAGAGCCCCAACUGUCAGGCCAUUCUCCCUAUCUCAGCAUGUUACGUACCCAGCCGUUCUAGUGAUUAUUGAAAACUACAAGCAAGAAGGGUGCUGGGAGAAGGUCAGUUGGAUGCCUUCUGGAGAACUGUCCUUCCAAGGUGGAGGCUGCCAUCCUUUCCCUUCAACACUGCAUCAUGCCUUCCUACCAGCCUCUGCUGCCUGCCCUUGUAGAAUCCCUGCAGGACCCAGGAUUCAAGAUUGAGCCUGACUCUGCUUGAAAGGCAUGAACCCAGAGCUCAGGAAGUCCUGUCUUCCCCAGAGCACCAGGAAGAAGGAAGUAGACAGAAGCCACAGCUGCAUGGUGGAAGAGGAUCUGGAUGCAGACUCCUGGGCCCCCUGCUCCUGCAGGCACUGAAACCCGUGGCUGCAGUGUCUGGGUCCACACUGAGCCUGGGCAUCGCCUGCUCCCUGUUGUAUCUUUCCCUCAUCCUCAACCUUCUGUCACACUUUUCAAGCUCUGUUUUCCUUUUUCUCUACUUCUCUUUUAAUUUACUUUUCAACUUCGCCUACUCUUUCCUCUCCAUUGUCCAGUUGUGGCAGAUUGUUAAAGCUGUCAUUUUGCCCAUGGAUUUGCUCACUGAUUCUGUUUUUUUUUUUUUUUUUCCAAGUUAUUUUUAAAAUUUCAAUAAUUUGGGGGGUACACAUUGUCUUUACAUGGUUGUUGG
RNAcentral lists this long non-coding RNA (1003 nucleotides) under Rhinopithecus bieti (black snub-nosed monkey). Its description in RNAcentral is "lncRNA (ENSRBIG00000045532.1)". The record is from RNAcentral. Lineage: Eukaryota; Metazoa; Chordata; Mammalia; Primates; Cercopithecidae.